GACGAAGGGGGCUUGCGUUGUUCGGAAUUACUGGGCGUAAAGGGCUCGUAGGCGGCCAACUAAGUCAGACGUGAAAUCCCUCAGCUUAACUGGGGAACUGCGUCUGAUACUGGAUGGCUUGGAUUCGGGAGAGGAAUGCGGAAUUCCAGGUGUAGCGGUGAAAUGCGUAGAUAUCUGGAGGAACACCGGUGGCGAAGGCGGCAUUCUGGACCGAUAUUGACGCUGAGGAGCGAAAGCCAGGGGAGCAAACGGG
RNAcentral lists this ribosomal RNA (253 nucleotides) under uncultured bacterium. RNAcentral's name for it is "partial 16S ribosomal RNA". It matches the Rfam family "Bacterial small subunit ribosomal RNA", at positions 524 to 776 of the family's 1533-position model. The record is from RNAcentral.